UUAUUCUUCAACUUCAACAACAAUAAUCAAAGGCCAAUCAUUGUAGGACACAUCAUCAACAAGAAUCAAGUUCUUGGAAAUCAUAGUUAAAUAUUUCUUUUUAUCCAUUAGUUUCUUUUUAUUGACUCUUAUACUAGUUGGCAACUAGUAAGAAUCUACUAAGUUGUGAACUAGUUUUUGAGUACUUCUUUUGUGUUAGCUUUACUUGUGG
Molecule: long non-coding RNA, 211 nt
Filed under: Capsicum annuum
Lineage: Eukaryota; Viridiplantae; Streptophyta; Magnoliopsida; Solanales; Solanaceae
Description: long non-coding RNA (CANN_LNC016095)
Source: RNAcentral